GAUGAACGCUGGCGGCGUGCUUAACACAUGCCAGUCGAACGGAAAGGCUCCUGCUUGCAGGGGUACUCGAGUGGCGAACGGGUGAGUAACACGUGGGUGAUCUGCCCUGCACUUCGGGAUAAGCCUGGGAAACUGGGUCUAAUACCGGAUAGGACGAUGGUUUGGAUGCCAUUGUGGAAAGUUUUUUCGGUGUGGGAUGAGCUCGCGGCCUAUCAGCUUGUUGGUGGGGUAAUGGCCUACCAAGGCGUCGACGGGUAGCCGGCCUGAGAGGGUGUACGGCCACAUUGGGACUGAGAUACGGCCCAGACUCCUACGGGAGGCAGCAGUGGGGAAUAGUGCACAAUGGGCGCAAGCCUGAUGCAGCGACGCCGCGUGGGGGAUGACGGCCUUCGGGUUGUAAACUCCUUUCGCUAGGGACGAAGCGCAAGUGACGGUACCUGGAGAAGAAGCACCGGCUAACUACGUG
This 466-nucleotide ribosomal RNA is filed under the name uncultured bacterium. Its description in RNAcentral is "partial 16S ribosomal RNA". It matches the Rfam family "Bacterial small subunit ribosomal RNA", at positions 28 to 507 of the family's 1533-position model. The record is from RNAcentral.